RNAcentral lists this transfer RNA (74 nucleotides) under Candidatus Uhrbacteria bacterium RIFCSPHIGHO2_01_FULL_46_23. RNAcentral describes it as "tRNA-Thr". The stretch from base 13 to 71 matches the Rfam family "tRNA". From Rfam's summary of the family: Transfer RNA (tRNA) molecules are approximately 80 nucleotides in length. Lineage: Bacteria; Candidatus Uhriibacteriota. The record is from RNAcentral. RNAcentral also lists the same sequence under 5 other names.
GCUUAGGCGAUGGCAGGCGGGGCAAUCGCUUCGUAAGCGAUGGGUCGCGAGUUCAAAUCUCGCCUCCAGCUCCA